UUUCAAACUGGACAGACAAAAUUUAAAAAGUGUUCUUCACGAUCUCCCUGGAAAUAAUUCACGCUAUCACUUUGUGAACAUUGUAAAUAUGAAACUGCAAAUACGGACCAAAACGAAUCAAAUUUGAAAGCGUGGAUGAUCAUGUUUCAUGCCGACUGUAAGUGCUCUAAAAAAAGGGGGGUGCUCCAUGAAUUUUGCUGCACGUCAAAGACGUCCAUGUACUAAAUAAUUAGAAUGUAAGACAUAUUCACUUAACUCUUGUCUACUUUAUACCGGAUUUUAUAUAAAUAAAUUCCCAUUGUAUCUGGGAACAAUUAGUUUUAUCCUCAUUAUAAACUAACUAUCUAACUAAUUUUAUUCAGCAUAAAAUCCAGUACAAAAGGAUCAUCGCUGAAACACAUGAACACAUAAAAAACAUAUACAAAACAAAACAACAAUAAAACAUAACAGCCAACACUUUUGACACUUAUAAUAAGCAAGAGACAAAACUCAAUAUAUGUUUUUUUUGUAAUUUAUUUUUAUUUCAUCUGAAAAUACACCAAGUAUAUAUUGUGAUACACAAUUAUAUAAUUAAUUCAUAAUAUAUAUAUUGAUAUUAAAUUUUUCAAUAACAGUCUAAAAUUAAAAAGUUACUUAUGCUAAUUGUUCUAAAUUUUCUACUGGAUCAUACACAUCCUUUAUCACUCUGGAUUAGAAUACCUGAAUAUGCUGAUAAGGUUAAUGAUUGCAUCAGCCUUCUCCUAUAGCCACAUGCAUCACUGCCUAUACAGUGAUGUAAAACAUGAGAGGUACCAGGAGAGGCCACCAGAGAUCAUUAACAGAUAACAUGUUGGACAACAUGUUGGACAGAGUCACAUAAUAAAUGUCAACCUAAGUCAAGGGAGAUAAUUCAAAUACAAUCAAACAAAAACUAGUAUAUCAAUAUAUAUAUAAACAAUAGCAAUAAACAUAGAUAGUACUUUUAAGAUGCACACAAAUCACUGUCCAGUUGUGAUGUGCAUCAACAUAUUAUUAAUUCUACAUGAACUAUUAUAAAGCCUUAAGUAAGUACAUAAAUAGAAAGAUCUCUCCUCACAUGUGAACUAAGUUUUUAAUUAAUUCCCAUUUACUAUCAAAUUUCUCUCUUGCUCUAGGGGAUCUGUAAAAGGAGGUAGAUAUUUUUUCUAUUUGGUAGGAAUUUUUAAUCAUAGCUAUGACACCUUUAAGAGUCGGUAAUGAAGUAUUAAAGCGACAUGUAUACAUGUAAAUAUAAUAUUUAACCAGAAUAGUGAAUAAGUUUAGGGAAAUAUCCCAAGACUCUGACCCAAGAACAAUAUUUUCCACAUUAAGAAUUAAAGUUAAAUUAUUUUCAACUAGAAAAAGUGCUGCAAUUUCUAACCACAAAUUUCUAACUAGCAUACAUUCCCAGAAAAGGUGACUUAUAGUUUCUUUAGUUUCAUUACAGAAACUACAUAAGUUAGUUUCUUUUAACCCGUAUUUCUGCAAUAAUGCAUUUGUAGCGAGAGUUCUAUGUAAAAUCUUAAACUGGAACAUACUAAAUUUGUUGUUUUUAGUGCAACAAAAGGGUAAACUAUAAAUGAAAUCCCAAUUUUCUAUAUGAGUGCCUAGUUCCUUACACAUUUUGUCUUCUUGUUUUGUAGGACGUUCUGUAUACAUUGACAAGAAUUUUUUAUAAAAGAACUGACAUGACUUUUUAUUGUUUUUUAUAAAUUCAAAUUUAUCGUUAGAUAUGUGAGUAAUUUUCUCUGAAGUAGUGAUUAAAUUUUUCCAGUCUUUUGGUAUCAUAUGCAGCAAAAGAUGGUAUUCCAAGAAAUUAAUAUUAAGAUUAUAUUUUUCGCAGAAUUCUUUUAAAGUAAAAAAAUUACUGUUUUCAUCAAGUAAAUCACCUAUAAAGAAAACUCCUGAUUCAACCCACCUCUGGUAAAAGACAGUUUUAUUAUUAAUUUUCAAACUCUUGUUUAGCCAUAUGGAUUGUUUCAUGAUCCCUUCAGCAGUGCCAUUAGUGACAGUGUUUAGGAUAUUCCAGUUUAGUAAAAUAUCUUUCCAGAAAUUAUUAAAAUUUGAAGAAAUCUUUUGGAUACCAUCAGGGGUCAUCAACCAUAUUUUGUCUGCUCCUAAUCUGUUGUAUUGAUCUAUUAACAAUGUUUUCCAUGGGGAUAUAUUCAAGGGGUCUAAAAGUUUAUUUAUCCAUGUCAUCUUUAAUGAAUAACAAAAGGAUCUUAUAUCUGGCAUUUUCAACCCCCCAUUUUCAAAUAACCCUAUCAUAACUUUUCUUUUAAUCUUGUCUGGUUUUCCUGACCACAAGAAACUAAAAAAAAUAUUUUGAAUUUCUUUUAUUUUAUCAUCCGGAGGAUUUGGCAAAACUGUCAAUGAUUGAAUUAGAAUAGGUAGAGCUAGUGAUUUAAUGACAGUGAUCUUUCCCAUAUAUGUUAAAUCUCUAUAAACCCAGGAAUUUAGCAGGCUCUGUAUUUUUUUUUUUUUCUUCAAAAUUUACAAGCGUUUUAUUUUCACUGAACAGAUCAAAUUUUAUUCCUAAAAGUUUAAAUUUUCCUGAAUGAUUCCAGUUCAAAUUUCUUGUAGUUGUUAGUUUAUCCCUUGAGUGAAUCUUUGACCCAAUCCAUAUGGCUUCUGUUUUAUCAAAAUUAGCCCUAAGUCCCGCACACUCAGAAAUUUUUCUAAAGUAUAUAAACAUUUAUCUAAAGAUUUCUCAUCCUCGUCUAAUAAGAGACAUGAGUCAUCUGCAUACUGGCUUAGUAGAUACUCAGAAUCAUUUAUUUUCAUACCAUUUAUAUCUGGGUUAUUUUUAAGUGCAGCACUCAUAAGCUCUAAAGAUAAUGGAGAUAGAGGAUCACCUUGUCUAACACCCCGACCAAUAUUAAAAAAUUGAGAGCAAUGUCCAUUAUUUAUAAUACAGCUCUGCAAUUCUGAAUAUAAGGUCUUGACCCAUCUACAAAAAAUAGGACCAAAUCCUAGAAAAGACAAAGCCAAGUCUAUACAUGACCACUCAAGAGUAUCAAAAGCUUUCUCAAAGUCUAAUAAAAGUAAAAGACCUGGUAGAUUAUCAUCUUCUGCCUUUUCCAUAAUGUCAAAAAUAAGCCUGGUACAUUCUCCAAUAUACCUUCCCUUUAUGAAACCUUGCUGUGUUUCACUAAUUAUAUCCCCAAGAAAAGGUUUUAUUCUAUUUGCUAAUGCAGCUGAUGCAAGUUUUGUAUCAACAUUUAAUAAAGUGAUAGGUCUCUCGCUUUUUAACUGAAAUUUUGAUUUACCCUCUUUUGGAAUGCAUGUUAUUACUCCUUGUUUCUGACUAACCGAAAAAGAUCCAGUUUCUAAGCUAUAAUUAAAAGAUUUUAUAAUAAACUCAUGGAGGUCUAAUCAAAAAAAAUUUAUAAAAUUCUGUUGUAAAUCCAUCCAUCCCUGGAGAUUUACCAUUUUUCAUAUUUUUCAAUGUUUUUAAGAACUCAUUAUAUGUUUAUGUGUUAAUCAGAAUGUAUUGUGUAUUGUUGUCAUUAUGCCCGUCUUAAUUGGAAAUAAGGAACUUUGAACUUUUAUAUGUCCCUGAUUUCAUUUAUAUAAUACAUGUACACCCAAGUUUAAUAGUUUAUCUAUAGAAAUUAAAUCUUUUAUGAAAACAAAUUGAUACACUACAAAGGGAAAGGGAUUAUAGGCACUUGUUUCUGGCAAUGGGGGUUCACUAUCCAUACUCUUCUUUCCCAUAUAUAAAAAAAUAAACCAGAUAAAUGUAGCAUCCCCGUUGUAAUUAACCAAUCACCCGUCACCUAUUUGAGAGCUUAUACAUACAUUUACAUGUCAGACCAGAAACUAACAAAUUUCAGUGGCAAAACCAGAACUUUUCAUAAAAGGGGAGGGGGGUCUCAUGCUUCAGUCCCUAUAUAAUCAACAAAUUUUUUUCCAACAAGGUCUCAAUAGUCAUGACAGUGGUGGUUCCAGGAUUUAAAUUGAGAAAAACUGGGUUGUGAGUGCCCCCAAAAUGUAUAUAAUUUUAGCUUGUAUUGUACAUGUUAUGAUAUUUAUGUACACUAUAAUAUAGUUGAAUAUAAAAAUGUUAACGAAAGGAUUGUUAACACACAAAUCUGCUCCAUGUUACGAUGUUAAACAUUGUUAUCUAACAUGUUUAACCCCGCCACAUUAUUUAUGUAUGUGCCUGUCCCAAGUCAGGAGCCUGUAAUUCAGUGGUUGUCGUUUGUUUAUGUGUUACAUAUUUGUUCUUCGUUAAUUUAUUUACAUAAAUAAGGCCGUUAGUUUUCUCGUUUUAAUUGUUUUACAUUGUCUUAUCGAGGCCUUUUAUAGCUGACUAUGCGGUAUUGGGGUUUCUUGUUGAAGCUGUACAGUGACCUAUAAUUGUUAUUGUCUGUGUCAUUUUGGUCUUUUGUGGAUAGUUGUCUCAUUUGCAAUCAUACCACAUCUUCUUUUUUAUAUUAUACAUGAAAAAAAUGUUUUCAAGACUUGGAAAUAUUUUCUUUGCCCAUUGUUGCCUUUAACUUUUAUGUAUUGAGCAAAAUGCUAGAGGCAUAAUUAUUUAUAAUACUUAGUAAAAACAUGUAUUUUCUUGGUAAUUCAUAUAUAUAUAUGGCAAAUUUGUAUUUAAUAUGUGUUGAUAAUAACAAUGCAAAGUUUAAUUUUGCUUUGCAUAAUUUAGUAUAUAAUUUAUUUAGUAAUUGUAUGUACAUUUGCUUUAUAUUUACAGGAAAGAGAAAGAUGUUCACUAUGAAUCAAAAAUUCAAUACAUAGGACUUUUAUAUAUCAACAAAAAACACAUGUACAUGUACAUGUGUAUGUGUGAUAUACAUACAACAAGAAAACAGUAAUCAAAUGGAAUGUCAAUCACC
Molecule: long non-coding RNA, 4847 nt
Filed under: Mytilus galloprovincialis (Mediterranean mussel)
Lineage: Eukaryota; Metazoa; Mollusca; Bivalvia; Mytilida; Mytilidae
Source: RNAcentral